AGAACCAAAAGCAUCAGUCAGCUAAGCCUAAAAAGCCAUUUAAAUGGAGAUUCUCUAAGCUUACAGAGAAGGCUUAGUCUGUGUCUAGGAAACCAGCCCAUAGGAAAUAAACCUGCACACUGAACUAUGCUCCCAAAAUGAGCACAUUCGACUCACAUUGUCAGCCAUGCUUAUCUUAAAAAUAAAAAAAAAACACCAGGAGAGCUCUGUGCAUGCUAGGGUCCAUGAACUCAUAUCUGAAGUCUCCAAUAUCUGGUAUGACCAUUGGCUAUGUCUAAAUCUGUACAAAGAUCGCCACCUUCUGGACAAUAAUGGUCAUGUGAGUUAAGAAUCUGUCCUUCAUGGGAAAACCUUUGCACAUAUUUCCACAGUUAAUAACUGAAAUACUCAAUCUUGACAUAGCAGCUACAGAUAAUCUAUCCGACUGGACUGAGUAAAGGGUACAGAUGAUCUGUAAAAAUACAGUGUAAUGCUGGAGGACUAAACUAAAUGCCUCCAGCGCUGUCCUGUGGGUUGGUUUGUUUUCAUUCCAUCCAAUAUCCUUGUCUUUGAUUGGCUCUUCACCAAUAUCUUUAGUCUUCAUUUGUUGUUAGUUGAGUUGUAGAAGGCCUAAGUACAAAUUAACACUAGUGGUCAGUGUGUGGUGUGUUCUCCGGGGGUAUUUUCCUUAGUCGAUGAGUGUAGCAAAACAUUUUGCACCGUAGCAAAAAGCUUUACUCCAAAUGGAAACAAUUUUGGUCCGAAAACUACAUUAUCUAUUGGACAAAUUCAGGAAGGUCCCUCCCUGUUUCUGUCCGUUUAGUUAUGUUUGCUUACUCGUGAAUAUACCCAUGUUAAGGCAAUGAGAUAUUUCCUCCAACCAACGUUUGCUCACACAUAUCAAGAGGAUCAACUGAACUUUAUAUAUGGUUGCAAGAGAUUGCCUUUCUGUUGUGAGUCUCUCAUACACAAUCAAUCUUAAACUUCUAUUCUAAACUUUUAUAUAAAUGUAGAUUUUGUUUAAACUAUUUCAAAAAAUGUUCUGUCUAUAGGUAUUCAAUAAAGCUUUAUAAGUGUGGUGUGUUCAGGCGGUUUGAGUAUGCCGGGUUAAGACCAGGGUUGUGUUCAAUAGGGAAAACUGUAGCAAAACAUUUCAGGACGCUGUGCAGCCAAAAAUGAAAACUUAGGUACAUUAACCUGAAGAAAAUAAAUAAAAAGACCCUGGGCAGGCUAAGGGCAGUCACAUAGGGAGGUUAAGGGCAGUCACAUAGGGAGGCUAAGGGCAGUCACAUAGGGAGGUUAAGGGCAGUCACAUAGGGAGGUUAAGGGCAGUCACAUAGGGAGGUUAAGGGCAGUCACAUAGGGAGGUUAAGGGCAGUCACAUAGGGAGGUUAAGGGCAGUCACAUAGGGAGGUUAAGGGCAGUCACAUAGGGAGGUUAAGGGCAGUCACAUAGGGAGGUUAAGGGCAGUCACAUAGGGAGGUUAAGGGCAGUCACAUAGGGAGGUUAAGGGCAGUCACAUAGGGAGGUUAAGGGCAGUCACACAGGGAGGUUAAGGGCAGUCACACAGGGAGGUUAAGGGCAGUCACACAGGGAGGCUAAGGGCAGUCACACAGGGAGGCUAAAGGCAGUCACACGGGGAGGUUAAGGGCAGUCACACAGGGAGGUUAAGGGCAGUCACAUAGGGAGGUUAAGGGCAGUCACAUAGGGAGGUUAAGGGCAGUCACAUAGGGAGGUUAAGGGCAGUCACAUAGGGAGGUUAAGGGCAGUCACAUAGGGAGGUUAAGGGCAGUCACAUAGGGAGGUUAAGGGCAGUCACAUAGGGAGGUUAAGGGCAGUCACAUAGGGAGGUUAAGGGCAGUCACAUAGGGAGGUUAAGGGCAGUCACAUAGGGAGGUUAAGGGCAGUCACAUAGGGAGGUUAAGGGCAGUAGUAAAACCAAAGAUGGACGAAUAUUACAUCUCCAGUCUUUUCAGCGGCUAGUACAGUGCCUAUAGAGUUGCGUUCCAACGUGGGAUUGAAAUAGAUGUUAUUGUAAUUUUGUCAUUGAUCUAAAAUACUCCAUAAUGUCAAAGUGAAAAGAAAAUUCCACAAAUUAACACAAAUGUAAUCAUUUCUAAUUGUAUAAAGACAAUUAUUUGGUUGCAAUUUUGUAA
This is a long non-coding RNA of Oncorhynchus keta (chum salmon), 2135 nucleotides long. RefSeq lists it as uncharacterized. Lineage: Eukaryota; Metazoa; Chordata; Actinopteri; Salmoniformes; Salmonidae. The record is from RefSeq and is a predicted model, not a curated record. The transcript has 5 exons.